Pelobates cultripes (western spadefoot toad) is the source of this 86-nucleotide non-coding RNA. The record is from the annotation of a GenBank genome assembly. Lineage: Eukaryota; Metazoa; Chordata; Amphibia; Anura; Pelobatidae.
UUGAGAAAGUCUCAGACACUCACUGUGAUAUGUUCAAGGCAGUUGCAUUGAACAUAUCACAGUGAGUGUCUGAGACUUUCUCUUUU